UACGUAGGGUGCGAGCGUUGUCCGGAAUUAUUGGGCGUAAAGAGCUUGUAGGCGGUUUGUCGCGUCUGCUGUGAAAACUCAGGGCUUAACCCUGAGCCUGCAGUGGGUACGGGCAGACUAGAGUAUGGUAGGGGAGACUGGAAUUCCUGGUGUAGCGGUGGAAUGCGCAGAUAUCAGGAGGAACACCGAUGGCGAAGGCAGGUCUCUGGGCCAUAACUGACGCUGAGAAGCGAAAGCAUGGGUAGCGAACAGG
RNAcentral lists this unclassified non-coding RNA (253 nucleotides) under uncultured Intrasporangiaceae bacterium. RNAcentral describes it as "contains 16S-23S intergenic spacer region". It matches the Rfam family "Bacterial small subunit ribosomal RNA", at positions 524 to 776 of the family's 1533-position model. The record is from RNAcentral. Lineage: Bacteria; Bacillati; Actinomycetota; Actinomycetes; Micrococcales; Intrasporangiaceae.